Molecule: small RNA, 29 nt
Filed under: Bombyx mori (domestic silkworm)
Lineage: Eukaryota; Metazoa; Arthropoda; Insecta; Lepidoptera; Bombycidae
Description: ovarian small RNA-29005
Source: RNAcentral
UCGGGGGUUACCGACCUACGUAUCGCGUC